CCUACGGGUGGCUGCAGUGGGGAAUAUUGGACAAUGGGCGAAAGCCUGAUCCAGCCAUGCCGCGUGUGUGAAGAAGGCCUUCGGGUUGUAAAGCACUUUCAGUGGGGAAGAAAGCCUUGGGGCUAAUACCCUCGAGGAAGGACAUCACCCACAGAAGAAGCACCGGCUAACUCCGUGCAAGCAGCCGCGGUAAUACGGAGGGUGCGAGCGUUAAUCGGAAUUACUGGGCGUAAAGCGCACGUAGGCGGUCUGAUAAGCCGGUUGUGAAAGCCCCGGGCUCAACCUGGGAACGGCAUCCGGAACUGUCAGGCUAGAGUGCAGGAGAGGAAGGUAGAAUUCCCGGUGUAGCGGUGAAAUGCGUAGAGAUCUGGAGGAAUACCAGUGGCGAAGGCGGCCUUCUGGACUGACACUGACGCUGAGGUGCGAAAGCGUGGGUAGCAAACAGGAUUAGAUACCCCUGUAGUC
Molecule: ribosomal RNA, 465 nt
Filed under: Vreelandella stevensii
Lineage: Bacteria; Pseudomonadati; Pseudomonadota; Gammaproteobacteria; Oceanospirillales; Halomonadaceae
Description: partial 16S ribosomal RNA
Rfam family: Bacterial small subunit ribosomal RNA
Source: RNAcentral